GAUGAAGAACGCAGCGAAAUGCGAUAAGUAGUGUGAAUUGCAGAAUUCAGUGAAUCAUCGAAUCUUUGAGCGCACAUUGCGCCCGCCAGUAUUCUGGCGGGCAUGCCUGUUCGAGCGUCAUUACAACCCUCAGGCCCCCGGGCCUGGCGUUGGGGAUCGGCGGAAGCCCCCUGUGGGCACACGCCGUCCCUCAAAUACAGUGGCGGUCCCGCCGCAGCUUCCAUUGCGUAGUAGCUAACACCUCGCAACUGGAGAGCGGCGCGGCCAUGCCGUAAAACACCCAACUUCUGAAUGUUGACCUCGAAUCAGGUAGGAAUACCCGCUGAACUUAAGCAUAUCAAAAGCGGAGGA
This 351-nucleotide unclassified non-coding RNA is filed under the name soil metagenome. RNAcentral's name for it is "partial contains 5.8S ribosomal RNA, internal transcribed spacer 2, and large subunit ribosomal RNA". The stretch from base 1 to 120 matches the Rfam family "5.8S ribosomal RNA", at positions 35 to 154 of the family's 154-position model. The record is from RNAcentral.